UACGGAGGGGGCUAGCGUUGUUCGGAAUUACUGGGCGUAAAGCGCGCGUAGGCGGCUUUGUAAGUUAGAGGUGAAAGCCCGAAGCUCAACUUCGGAAUUGCCUUUAAGACUGCAUCGCUAGAAUCAUGGAGAGGUGAGUGGAAUUCCGAGUGUAGAGGUGAAAUUCGUAGAUAUUCGGAGGAACACCAGUGGCGAAGGCGGCUCACUGGCUCGGUACUGACGCUGAGGUGCGAAAGCGUGGGGAGCAAACAGG
This 253-nucleotide ribosomal RNA is filed under the name uncultured bacterium. RNAcentral's name for it is "partial 16S ribosomal RNA". It matches the Rfam family "Bacterial small subunit ribosomal RNA", at positions 524 to 776 of the family's 1533-position model. The record is from RNAcentral.